Small nucleolar RNA from Otolemur garnettii (small-eared galago), 126 nucleotides. The record is from Ensembl. Lineage: Eukaryota; Metazoa; Chordata; Mammalia; Primates; Galagidae.
GUGGAGACUGAGGAAACAGAGUCCUUGAAGUCAAGUGACUCUGCUUUUAGCCUCCUAAAGGAAAAGGUAGAUAGAACAGGUCUUGUUUGCAAAAUACAUUCAAGACCUACUUAUUUACCAACAGCA